GAUGAACGCUGGCGGCGUGCCUAAUACAUGCAAGUCGAGCGAAUGGAUUAAGAGCUUGCUCUUAUGAAGUUAGCGGCGGACGGGUGAGUAACACGUGGGUAACCUGCCCAUAAGACUGGGAUAACUCCGGGAAACCGGGGCUAAUACCGGAUAACAUUUUGAACCGCAUGGGUCGAAAUUGAAAGGCGGCUUCGGCUGUCACUUAUUGAUGGACCCGCGUCGCAUUAGCUAGUUGGUGAGGUAACGGCUCACCAAGGCAACGAUGCGUAGCCGACCUGAGAGGGUGAUCGGCCACACUGGGACUGAGACACGGCCCAGACUCCUACGGGAGGCAGCAGUAGGGAAUCUUCCGCAAUGGACGAAAGUCUGACGGAGCAACGCCGCGUGAGUGAUGAAGGCUUUCGGGUCGUAAAACUCUGUUGUUAGGGAAGAGCAAGUGCUAGUUGAAUAAGCUGGCACCUUGACGGUACCUAACCAGAAAGCCACGGCUAACUACGUGCCAGCCGCCGCGGUAA
This 515-nucleotide ribosomal RNA is filed under the name uncultured bacterium. RNAcentral's name for it is "partial 16S ribosomal RNA". It matches the Rfam family "Bacterial small subunit ribosomal RNA", at positions 28 to 523 of the family's 1533-position model. The record is from RNAcentral.